GCGCCCGUAGCUCAGCUGGAUAGAGUGUUUGGCUACGAACCAAGAGGUCGGGGGUUCGAAUCCCUCCGGGCGUACCA
RNAcentral lists this transfer RNA (77 nucleotides) under Oscillospiraceae bacterium. Its description in RNAcentral is "tRNA-Arg". It matches the Rfam family "tRNA". From Rfam's summary of the family: Transfer RNA (tRNA) molecules are approximately 80 nucleotides in length. Their secondary structure includes four short double-helical elements and three loops (D, anti-codon, and T loops). Further hydrogen bonds mediate the characteristic L-shaped molecular structure. tRNAs have two regions of fundamental functional importance: the anti-codon, which is responsible for specific mRNA codon recognition, and the 3' end, to which the tRNAs corresponding amino acid is attached (by aminoacyl-tRNA synthetases). tRNAs cope with the degeneracy of the genetic code in two manners: having more than one tRNA (with a specific anti-codon) for a particular amino acid; and 'wobble' base-pairing, i.e. permitting non-standard base-pairing at the 3rd anti-codon position. Lineage: Bacteria; Bacillati; Bacillota; Clostridia; Eubacteriales; Oscillospiraceae. The record is from RNAcentral.